UGUUGGAAUGCCCAAGAUUAAGAAAUACGUUCACUCUUGCUAUUGUCACAAGCCUUCCAGAGUUGAGGAGACUUGAAGUAAGAGGAUGCAAUGAAUGGGAGGGAAUAUUUUGUGAAGAGUCACUUAAGAAUCUUUCUACUACUUCCACUGUUUGCUUCCCCAAACUAGGGACCAUUUGUAUAUCUGAUUGCCACAAAGUGAGAAGGGUGUUCUCAUAUUCUCUGGCAUCUCAUUGUCCUUCAUUGGAGAAAAUAACUAUAAGGAAUUGCUCUCAACUGGAGAGGGUUGUUGAAGCUUAUGAAGGUGAAGUAGCUGCUCAUCAUCAAAGGCUGUUUCCUAAACUGAAUGAUUUGGAUCUCGGGAAGUUGCCAAAGUUGAGAGAGAUUUAUGAAGGUUAUGAAUUCAACCUCCUUUCUGGUACUAUAGCAAUAGAAGAUUGUCCAAACAUAUCAAAAAUCUCAAAAAUCCCAUUAGAAGACAAGCCCUCAUCAUCAGCCUUGGAGAUCAAAUUGGAAAGUGAGAUAAUGAAGGGCUGAUGAUGAGCUUUGGAUCUUCCAAUGGUUUCUUUAUCUGCAUUUGUGUUUUACUAAGUUGUGUGUGAAAAUAUGUUGGAUUUGUAUCAGUGUGUUGAAAAUUUCACAAAAACUUUUUUUUAAAAAAAAAAAGAAGCUUAAAAAUUUAGACAUACAUUUACUUUGAAGUUGUAUUUUAUUUGAGUCUGUUGAAACUAUGUAACUACAUUCAAGAUUGCACACAAAAUACAAUAAUUGUGUGGCCCUUGUGUGCACAACUUAUUUUAUUUCAAAUAUUGUAUCAAUGAUUUCUUAUGUUAUUCUUUAUUUCAAU
Neltuma alba is the source of this 846-nucleotide long non-coding RNA. RefSeq lists it as uncharacterized. The record is from RefSeq and is a predicted model, not a curated record. NCBI's taxonomy places the organism in Eukaryota, Viridiplantae, Streptophyta, Magnoliopsida, Fabales, Fabaceae. The transcript has 2 exons.